CCGUAUCAAGCCCCGGACGGUGCCCCGCGAGGGGAUCAAAAGGGAACACGGUGACGGGCUCCAGGCCCCAAUCCGAGGCUGCCCCCGCAACUGUAGUCGGCAAGCCGACGGCCUUGAUACCACUGGGAAACCGGGAAGGUGGCCGAAGGCGGAGGAGCCGUAAGCCAGGAAACCUGCCGUCGAAAACGCCGCAUC
This 195-nucleotide non-coding RNA is filed under the name Alphaproteobacteria bacterium. The record is from RNAcentral. Lineage: Bacteria; Pseudomonadati; Pseudomonadota; Alphaproteobacteria.